GGUAAAAUGGCUGAGGUAGGCAUUGAACUGUAAAUUCAAAGACAGA
This 46-nucleotide transfer RNA is filed under the name Notamacropus eugenii (tammar wallaby). Its description in RNAcentral is "partial tRNA-Tyr". Lineage: Eukaryota; Metazoa; Chordata; Mammalia; Diprotodontia; Macropodidae. The record is from RNAcentral.